CCUANGGGGGGCUGCAGUGGGGAAUCUUGCACAAUGGGGGAAACCCUGAUGCAGCGACACCGCGUGAGCGAUGAAGCCCUUCGGGGUGUAAAGCUCUUUCGGCAGGAACGAUAAUGACGGUACCUGAAGAAGAAGCUGCGGCUAACUACGUGCCAGCAGCCGCGGUAAUACGUAGGCAGCAAACGUUGUUCGGAGUUACUGGGCGUAAAGAGUACGUAGGCGGUUUGCCAAGUUUGGUGUGAAAUCUCCUGGCUUAACUGGGAGGGUGCGCCGAAUACUGGCGAGCUAGAGUGUUGGAGAGGGGAGCGGAAUUCCUGGUGUAGCGGUGAAAUGCGUAGAUAUCAGGAGGAACACCGGUGGUGUAGACGGCUCCCUGGACAACCACUGACGCUGAGGUACGAAAGCGUGGGUAGCAAACAGGAUUAGAUACCCCGNUANUC
RNAcentral lists this ribosomal RNA (440 nucleotides) under uncultured bacterium. RNAcentral's name for it is "bacterial SSU rRNA". It matches the Rfam family "Bacterial small subunit ribosomal RNA", at positions 338 to 795 of the family's 1533-position model. The record is from RNAcentral.